This 580-nucleotide ribosomal RNA is filed under the name Acanthephyra purpurea. RNAcentral describes it as "partial 16S ribosomal RNA". It matches the Rfam family "Bacterial large subunit ribosomal RNA", at positions 1796 to 2644 of the family's 2925-position model. Lineage: Eukaryota; Metazoa; Arthropoda; Malacostraca; Decapoda; Oplophoridae. The record is from RNAcentral.
UCGCCUGUUUUAUCAAAAACAUGUCUGUAUGAAAUUAAUAUAAAGUCUGGCCUGCCCACUGAAUAUUUUAAAGGGCCGCGGUAAUUUGACCGUGCGAAGGUAGCAUAAUCAAUAGUCUCUUAAUUGGAGGCUGGAAUGAAUGGUCGUACAAGAAGCAGUCUGUCUUUUUUAUAAAUAUUGAAUUUAACUUUUAAGUGAAAAGGCUUAAAUUUUCUGAGGGGACGAUAAGACCCUAUAAAACUUUACAUAAGUUGGUUAAUUUUUAAAUUUAAGUAUAAAAUGAAAAUUAUUUUCACUUUGUUACAUUGGGGCGAUGAAAAUAUAAGUUGUAACUGUUUGUUGGUUGAAAUAAAAAUAUUUAGGUAAGUUGAUCCUUUAUUAUGGAUUAUAAGAAUAAGUUACUUUAGGGAUAACAGCGUGAUUUUUUCUGAGAGUUCUUAUCGACGAAAGUAGUUGCGACCUCGAUGUUGAAUUAAAGUUUCGUCAAGGUGUAGAAGCUUUGAUUUGUGGGUCUGUUCGACCUUUAAAACUUUACAUGAUUUGAGUUCAAACCGGUGUGAGCCAGGUUGGUUUCUAUCUA